RNAcentral lists this ribosomal RNA (972 nucleotides) under Mycolicibacterium frederiksbergense. RNAcentral describes it as "bacterial SSU rRNA". It matches the Rfam family "Bacterial small subunit ribosomal RNA", at positions 97 to 1083 of the family's 1533-position model. Lineage: Bacteria; Bacillati; Actinomycetota; Actinomycetes; Mycobacteriales; Mycobacteriaceae. The record is from RNAcentral.
GGCGAACGGGUGAGUAACACGUGGGUGAUCUGCCCUGCACUUUGGGAUAAGCCUGGGAAACUGGGUCUAAUACCGAAUAUGACCAUGCGCCUCCUGGUGGGUGGUGGAAAGCUUUUGCGGUGUGGGAUGGGCCCGCGGCCUAUCAGCUUGUUGGUGGGGUAAUGGCCUACCAAGGCGACGACGGGUAGCCGGCCUGAGAGGGUGACCGGCCACACUGGGACUGAGAUACGGCCCAGACUCCUACGGGAGGCAGCAGUGGGGAAUAUUGCACAAUGGGCGCAAGCCUGAUGCAGCGACGCCGCGUGAGGGAUGACGGCCUUCGGGUUGUAAACCUCUUUCAGCACAGACGAAGCGCAAGUGACGGUAUGUGCAGAAGAAGGACCGGCCAACUACGUGCCAGCAGCCGCGGUAAUACGUAGGGUCCGAGCGUUGUCCGGAAUUACUGGGCGUAAAGAGCUCGUAGGUGGUUUGUCGCGUUGUUCGUGAAAACUCACAGCUUAACUGUGGGCGUGCGGGCGAUACGGGCAGACUUGAGUACUGCAGGGGAGACUGGAAUUCCUGGUGUAGCGGUGGAAUGCGCAGAUAUCAGGAGGAACACCGGUGGCGAAGGCGGGUCUCUGGGCAGUAACUGACGCUGAGGAGCGAAAGCGUGGGGAGCGAACAGGAUUAGAUACCCUGGUAGUCCACGCCGUAAACGGUGGGUACUAGGUGUGGGUUUCCUUCCUUGGGAUCCGUGCCGUAGCUAACGCAUUAAGUACCCCGCCUGGGGAGUACGGCCGCAAGGCUAAAACUCAAAGAAAUUGACGGGGGCCCGCACAAGCGGCGGAGCAUGUGGAUUAAUUCGAUGCAACGCGAAGAACCUUACCUGGGUUUGACAUGCACAGGACGACUGCAGAGAUGUGGUUUCCCUUGUGGCCUGUGUGCAGGUGGUGCAUGGCUGUCGUCAGCUCGUGUCGUGAGAUGUUGGGUUAA